Molecule: ribosomal RNA, 694 nt
Filed under: uncultured bacterium
Lineage: Bacteria
Description: bacterial SSU rRNA
Rfam family: Bacterial small subunit ribosomal RNA
Source: RNAcentral
GGAUAACGAUUGGAAACGAUCGCUAAUACCGCAUGACAUAGCGGAAUCGCAUGGUUCUGUUAUCAAAGAUUUUAUCGCUGAUAGAUGGGCUCGCGUCCGAUUAGAUAGUUGGUGGGGUAACGGCCUACCAAGUCGACGAUCGGUAGCCGGACUGAGAGGUCGAACGGCCACAUUGGGACUGAGACACGGCCCAGACUCCUACGGGAGGCAGCAGUGGGGGAUAUUGCACAAUGGGGGAAACCCUGAUGCAGCGACGCCGCGUGAGGGAAGACGGUCCUCUGGAUUGUAAACCUCUGUCUUCGGGGACGAAACGAGACGGUACCCGAGGAGGAAGCCACGGCUAACUACGUGCCAGCAGCCGCGGUAAUACGUAGGUGGCAAGCGUUGUCCGGAAUUACUGGGUGUAAAGGGAGCGUAGGCGGGCAGGCAAGUCAGGCGUGAAAUAUAUCGGCUCAACCGGUAACGGCGCUUGAAACUGCAGGUCUUGAGUGAAGUAGAGGUUGGCGGAAUUCCUAGUGUAGCGGUGAAAUGCGUAGAUAUUAGGAGGAACACCAGUGGCGAAGGCGGCCAACUGGGCUUUUACUGACGCUGAGGCUCGAAAGUGUGGGGAGCAAACAGGAUUAGAUACCCUGGUAGUCCACACCGUAAACGAUGAUUACUAGGUGUGGGGGGACUGACCCCUUCCGUGCCGGAG